RNAcentral lists this long non-coding RNA (161 nucleotides) under Mustela putorius furo (domestic ferret). RNAcentral's name for it is "lncRNA (ENSMPUG00000025551.1)". The record is from RNAcentral. Lineage: Eukaryota; Metazoa; Chordata; Mammalia; Carnivora; Mustelidae.
CUGGGUGCCAGGCCCCUGAUGAACAAGACAGGUGCAUUCCUGGCUCCACGGAGCUCAUAGCUCAUGACUUCCACGUACAAGGGCAGUGGGCAGGGAGGAAGAAAUGAUCCCACGCAAAGGUACAAGACCCGGAUGGCCAUCUGACUUCUCGACAGCAACAA